RNAcentral lists this ribosomal RNA (307 nucleotides) under uncultured bacterium. Its description in RNAcentral is "partial 16S ribosomal RNA". It matches the Rfam family "Bacterial small subunit ribosomal RNA", at positions 506 to 807 of the family's 1533-position model. The record is from RNAcentral.
AGACAGCAGCAGCCGCGGUAAUACAGAGGGUGCGAGCGUUAAUCGGAUUUACUGGGCGUAAAGCGUGCGUAGGCGGCUUUUUAAGUCGGAUGUGAAAUCCCUGAGCUUAACUUAGGAAUUGCAUUCGAUACUGGGAAGCUAGAGUAUGGGAGAGGAUGGUAGAAUUCCAGGUGUAGCGGUGAAAUGCGUAGAGAUCUGGAGGAAUACCGAUGGCGAAGGCAGCCAUCUGGCCUAACACUGACGCUGAGGUACUAAAGCAUGGGGAGCAAACAGGAUUAGAUACCCGAGUAGUCCCUGUCUCUUAUAC